This 275-nucleotide long non-coding RNA is filed under the name Elaeis guineensis (African oil palm). RNAcentral describes it as "long non-coding RNA (EGUI_LNC012505)". Lineage: Eukaryota; Viridiplantae; Streptophyta; Magnoliopsida; Arecales; Arecaceae. The record is from RNAcentral.
UGAUUCUUAUGAAAUUUUUUUUCAUUAAUCACACUGCUGUGGCCAUAGACUCUUGGACUUAACUUCUUAAAAUCUCAUGAGACUACUCUUUUCUAUUAAGAUCGAUAGAUUCCAUCUUGAUAUGCAUCCUACUCUUACAGUGGACCAACUAUCGUCAACAUCCACUAUAAGAGCUCAUUGAGACCAUGUUUAUAUGUCAGUCAAACUCCAGCAGCCUUACUGCGAGCAGUCAUACCAUCACAGAUCAAAGGAUCAUUCACACAACUACAGCAUCG